GCUGGUCUGAGAGGACGAUCAGCCACACUGGGACUGAGACACGGCCCAGACUCCUACGGGAGGCAGCAGUGGGGAAUUUUGGACAAUGGGGGCAACCCUGAUCCAGCAAUGCCGCGUGUGUGAAGAAGGCCUUCGGGUUGUAAAGCACUUUUGUCCGGAAAGAAAUCGCACUUACUAAUAUUAGGUGUGGAUGACGGUACCGGAAGAAUAAGGACCGGCUAACUACGUGCCAGCAGCCGCGGUAAUACGUAGGGUCCAAGCGUUAAUCGGAAUUACUGGGCGUAAAGCGUGCGCAGGCGGUUGUGCAAGACCGAUGUGAAAUCCCCGGGCUUAACCUGGGAAUUGCAUUGGUGACUGCACGGCUAGAGUGUGUCAGAGGGGGGUAGAAUUCCACGUGUAGCAGUGAAAUGCGUAGAGAUGUGGAGGAAUACCGAUGGCGAAGGCAGCGCCCUGGGAUAACACUGACACUCAUGCACGAAAGCGCGGGGAGCAAACAGGAUUAGAUACCCUGGGUAGUCCACGCGCUAUACGAUGUCAACUAGUUGUUGGGGGAUUCAUUUUCCUCAGUAACGUAGCUAACGCGUGAA
Molecule: ribosomal RNA, 587 nt
Filed under: Ralstonia insidiosa
Lineage: Bacteria; Pseudomonadati; Pseudomonadota; Betaproteobacteria; Burkholderiales; Burkholderiaceae
Description: bacterial SSU rRNA
Rfam family: Bacterial small subunit ribosomal RNA
Source: RNAcentral